Molecule: long non-coding RNA, 1480 nt
Organism: Sarcophilus harrisii (Tasmanian devil)
Lineage: Eukaryota; Metazoa; Chordata; Mammalia; Dasyuromorphia; Dasyuridae
Exons: 4
Source: RefSeq, a predicted model, not a curated record
UACCACUUAGCUGUCCCCUUUUAAAAAUGUAUAUUAAAAAUGGAACUCAGGAGCAACCAUAUUUUCUGACUUUCUUGUGUUUUCACCUAACAUCAGGAGAUAAUUAACAACAAAAAUCAAUAAAUAUUUAUUAUUUGUUUCUUUUUUGUAGAGAGUACUGUGGGGAAGUGCUAUAGGAAAUAGUUCGAAUAAGUCAUAUAUGACUAUUUUGGUGAACCCCUUGGACCGUAUUAUCCAUUGGAGUUUCUUGGCAGAGAUAUUGAAAUGGUUUGCUAUUUCCUUCUCCAGGGGAUGAUAGCAAACAGAAAUUUAAUGAUUAGCUCAGUUUCACACAGCUAAUCUUCUGAUCUAAAUUCCUGCCUGGUGAAGAAGGUCCUUCAAUAAUAUUCUUAAAAGCUCUGUUGUGAAUACGACCCCAAGAGAACUAUGGCAAGAUAAGAUACUACGACCCUGGAACCAUCUGGAGCCAGAUUUCUAAAAGUAAUUAUAGUGCCAAUGCUUUGUAGACAGUAAGAAUUAUGGCUAAACAUGGAAAUGUGUUUUGUAUGACUUCACACAUAUAAUGAGUAUCAUAUUGCUUGCCUUCUCAAUGGAUGGGGAGGAAUUGUAGGGAGAGCCUGAAUUCAGAAAUGAAAAUAAAAAUUUUAAAAAAUAUAGUGGUAUAUCAUUUCAUAUCUGCCUGUAACUCAAAUCCAAUUGUGGAUAGGUACUUAAAAGUAUAAGCAUUAAGAAUUUAUUAUUUAAGAAUGAGAUUCCCUGAAAUAGAAACAUGACUUCUAAGCAUCAUUUAACCUGCUUUUAUCCUUGUAUAUUACAUUAUACUUGAUAUAUACUUUUACAUUUAAACUGCCUGAGAGGUCUUCAUUAAUAUAGUUUCCUAGUCAUUGGCUGUUUAUAACAACCUCACUAGUAUUCAGACCUUUCUUACCACUAGUAACUUAAAUUUAUUCUGACUAUUCACAUGUAUCCAGAAGGUCUUCUCUGGAUUGAACUUUAUUCAAUUGUAGAAUUUUAUUGGCUACAUUGCUUCCAAACAUUGUGAAUCUUAUUAAGUGAAAAUUAACUCAUGGCUCAUAAAUUGCCUAUUGAAUUAAUUUAUUUCUCUUAGAGAGUAUGUCAAUUCUUUUUUCUCUGUCCUUUUUAGAUGUGGUCUCUCCUUUUGACAAUACUGUUUAAACUAAUUUUUCACAUAUACAUAAUCAAUAUCAGAGUGCUUGCCUUCUAAAGGGAUAAGAAAGGAGGAAGGAAGAGAAUUUUGAACUCUAAAUUUUUUAAAAUGAAUAUCAGUUUUGUUUUUACAAGCAAUUGAGAAAAAAAAUUUUAAAGAGGCAUGAAGUUGCUGCAAUAGUUUAGAAGAAAAAGAAUUUAGUAUAAACUGGGAUUGCAGCAUCAUAAGUAGAGAAGAGGUAACAGUUGCGAGAAGUGUUAUGUAAAAAUGCAAUCGACUUUUUAGAUUUCAUCAUUCUAUAUAGGUCCACAA